AAUCAUCUCUAUGCGAACGAUAUGAGGUAAUACAGUUGUUAGGAAGCUAGAUCUAACCAUUCCACAAUGUACGAACAGUAGUAGCCCCUUAUCCUUGCUGUCACUUUCCAUGGUUUCAGCUACCAGUGGUCAACCGCAUUCCAAAAAUUUAAAUGGAAAAUUCCAGAAAUACACAAUUCAUAAGUUUUAAAUUGCACACUAUUCUGGGUAGCGUGAAGAAAUCUCAUAUGGUUCCAUUCAGAACAUGAAUCAUCCCUUUGUCCAACAUCUCCACACUAUAGACACGACCUGCCUGAUAGUCACUUAGGCCUGAGUCCUAACAGGAAUCUCGUUCUGACGGAGCUGCUGUAUAUGCGCACGUGUUUGUGUGUGUGUGCUCACACCGGCACACAGAAGUGGAGUAGGGAUCCUCAUUUAUCCACCCACAGACUUCUCUGGUAAAACAAGAGGGCUGGAUUAUCAGGGUUUUCAAGACCUCAGAGUUUUUGAGGGCUCCCGCAGGGAUAGCUCCCCCUGUGUCUUCCCCAUUCCCCCUAUAACCAGAGCAGCACUCUAUACCAGGGGUGUCCAAUCUUUUGGUUUUCCUGGGCCACAUUGGAAGAAUUGUCAUGGGCCACACAUAAAAUACACUAACAAUAGCUGAUAAACUAAAAAAAAAAAAUCACAAAAAAACCUCAUGUUUUAAGAACAUUUACAAAUUCUGUGUUGGCCACAUUCCAAGCCAUCCUGGGCCAUGGGUUGGACAAGCUUGCUCUGUACUUUGCUUAUGAGUUGAGAUUACCUAUAAAAUUCCAUCCUACAUUUGCAAACUUGAACAAGAAAGGCUCCAAGUCACUGGGCUGGAGCUCUGUUCUUGUCCAGGCCCUGGUUCCUGGGUUCUGUGGUUCUGUAAGCGGAAACGGCAGCUGGGGCCUGGAGGCCUGGAUAUAGCUGAGUAGGGAGCACUCGUGUGGGGCUAAAUGAAUGCAGAUGAAGGAUCUGGAUAGUCUGGGACCCUACAUGUCUUCCUUCUUUGCCUCCUUCCCAGGGACGCACUCUCUGAGAUAUUUUCUGGGCGUUUCGGAUCCUGGCCAUGGGGUCCCUGAAUUUAUUUCAGUUGGGUAUGUGGACUCACAGCCUAUCACCACAUAUGACAGUGUCACUUGGCAGAAGGAGCCGCGGGCCCCAUGGAUGGCAGAGAACCUCGCGCCUGAUCACUGGGAGAGGUACACUCAGCUGCUGAGGGGCUGGCAGCAGACGUUCAAGGUGGAACUGAAGCGCCUGCAGAGGCACUACAAUCACUCAGGGUCUCACACUUACCAGAGAAUGAUUGGCUGUGAGCUGCUGGAGGACGGAAGCACCACAGGAUUUCUGCAGUAUGCAUAUGACGGGCAGAUUUCCUGAUCUUCAAUAAAGACAGCCUCUCCUGGCUGGCUGUAGAUAAUGUGGCUCACACCGUCAAGCGGGCAUGGGAGGCCAAUCAGCAUGAGUUGCAAUAUCAAAAGAAUUGGCUGGAAAAAGAAUGUAUUGCCUGGCUAAAGAGAUUCCAUAGCCCCAGCCUCUCUCUCUCCUCCAGCUCUCUGGUCUUUUUUGAGGAUGCUCAUUGCAGUGGCCAAAACCAACCAGAGGCCGGGGGCUCUGGAAGUGCAGUCUGAUGCGUAUAGCCUCCUGGGGCAUGGAAGGGCAGAGAUGAGAUGAGAUGGGGGCUCACAGGGAGAGCCUAUGGGGAAGACACCCUACAAAGAACAGGUAAAGAGAGGAGGCCUUGUUCCUGCAUUGCCUGAACAACUGUUUCUGUACAUAACUCCUCUGAUGUAGGUUACAUCCACCCUAUCCUGAAGCCAUCUCUUUAGUUGGCCUGUUGUGAUCUCAUGGCUAGAGCCCCCCACGAACUUUCUCUGGUUACUUCUGGGUAGCAUCUUGACAAGAUUUGACAGUUCCCCUUUUCUUGACAGAGUACCUCCAAGGGCACCUUGUUUUUGGGGAUCCAUUGAGGCAAAUUCUUGCGUCAAUGAUAAGCUGGGAAAUUCUUUGGGAGGUGGAGCAAUUCUUACAAAUUGUUUAGUUAACAAAGGGCUCACACACCACCAGUAGGACUGAAAAUCUGGAUUUACCAGGACAAACAGAGGAUCUCUGCUUUACUAACAGCUUAAUGACAAGAUUCCUUCCAGCAAAGAGCUCUUCUUAUACCUUAAAGAUACGAUUCAAUUGGUCAACUUUUAGUUAAUACAGAACUUUUCGUGUAUGAUCUUAUUAUUCAAAAUGCAUUACCCCUGCAUCAUGCUACAGGAAAUACCUAGACACAGGUGCCUUUCCUCACAGGAGUAGGAGGGGUUUUCUCAGUUGUGGCCAAUAGCAGGGGAGGUAUCUGGCCACACUUAUGAAUAUGGAGCAUCUGCCAAAAGUACAGGCUUUGGAGGCAGAUGACUGGAGUCUGAGCUUUGACUCUCCCAUUCCCUAGCUGAAAAACUAUCUCUUAAUGGUUGCAGGUAACAGAAACCUAUGUAAACCGGCUCAAGCACAAAGUGGGAUGCUAUUUUAAAGGUGGGAAUCAGGGCAGUGUGGGGACCUGAGAGAUCAAAACCAAGAUGUGAAUGAUUUUAUCCAUGAGGUAGGGACGUGGCUGCCAGCACAAAGCUCGUAUCCUCCACACAUCACCACUCUAUAAGAAUGGGCGUCUCUCUCCUGGCUCUGGUUACUACAAGGAAAAGGAAGUCACAGGAGGACUCUGACGUGCGUUAGAUCAUGUGGCACCUCUGGGCCGAAUCACCAAGACCAUCAGGAUAAGCCUCUAAGACAAGCCAUAGCUAACAGCCCUGGCAAGAACUAAAUGGUACACUCAAUAUGGUUUAAAUGAAUUCAACAAAGACAGCAUCUGUAGGGGGAUAAUCAGGACUGAGGAAACCAGUAUGGGAUGGUGAAGUGUCCAGAGAUGUGUCACAGAGGGAAGCAUUACCUCCACCAGAGGUGAAGGGUAAAAGAGAAUACUGUUAUCAUAGUUCAGCAAGAGCUGCUCCCCAGGCAGAGGAUGCUCCUUGUGAGAGCUGUGACCGUGGCCCCCGGUGGGACUGUAGUGAGGUGGGUUGGGGAAUGAAGCCCCAAACUCUCUCUCCUCCAGCUCUCUGGUCUUUUUUGAGGAUGCUCAUUGCAAUGGCCGAACCCAACCAGAGGCCGGGGGCUCUGGAAGUGCAGUCUGAUGCGUACAGCCUCCUGGGGCACGGAAGGGCAGAGAUGAGAUUAGCUGGGGACUCACAGGGAGAGCCCAACCAGCACACACACUGUUUUAGGCUAGGGCUGGGCAGGAGGAUUAAGAUUGGUGCCGCUCAACACAAGCACAUGUUGGAAUGGGGUAGGGUCAUUUUCCAAAAUACGCUGUGUUUGGCAGAAGGGGUUCCUGCAGUUAGAAAAAGUGAGGCUAACAGAUGGUAGGCCAAAAAAGCAAUAAACUUGAGUGAAAUCAACAGGUAUGAUAAAGCCUACCCUACAGAAAUGGAUAAGAAAAAUGUGCAUAAAAGCACUGUGUAAACUGUAGGGCUCUGUUCCCUUUUCAUGAGGCCAUCAGUCAUACUGGAUUAGGGGCCCACCCUACUACUGCAGGAUGACCUCACCUUCCCAAAUUAUAUCAACCCUAUUUCCAGAGAAGGCCACAUUCUGAGGUCCUGGGGGUUACAACUUCAUGAAUUUUUGCAGGGGGAAACAAUUCAACUCCUAAUACAUCUCUACCCAACCUCUGUAGGUUCCCUCAAUCCACCAAAACUUUCUGGCUCCACUGGAUUAUCUAGCAGUUAGGAAACCAAGAUCAUUAAACGAAUUCACCACAGCUACAGUGAGACUGACUACCUUAGCUUACCUCUGUGAGAGGAGUUAAGCCAAGGGAAUCUGUGGAAUUUUGGAGGGUUUGGGGGCACUUGGGGGCAGGCGGCAAAGUCCUUCCUUUAAAUCCCAACACUUAGUUCUCUUCCAUUUAUAAGACUCGCUCCUCCAUCCCAACUCCUGCACCACAGGACAAGGAAGUGUUCUUGGCCUUCAACUUUCAUCCCUGAUGGUGAAAGCAGUUGCUCCUGAUCUAUUUGCCUACCAGCUUCUCCUCUGGAGCCUGAGGCAUCUGAUGCCUGCCCAGCUGGUUCUCAGUAAGAAGGUCAAGUUCAACUAGAGGGGAGAUCCUGAUGCCUUUCAGUAGUUAAAUAUGAGUUCAGACCCCGGGGUCUGGACAGAAGAUUUGGAGUCCCACCAGCUGGGCGUAAGUGGCUCAUACCUGUAAUCCCAGCACUUGGGGAGGCUGAGGCGGGUGGAUCACUUGAGGUCAGGAGUUCGAGACCAACCUGGCCAACAAGGUCUCAUCUCUACCAAAAAUACAAAAAUUAGCCUGGCUUGGUGGCACGGACCUGUAGUCCCAGCUACUAGGCAGGAGGCUGAAGCACGAGUAUUACUUGAGCCUGGGAGUCGGAGGUUGCAGUGAGCCGAGAUUACACCAUUGCACUUUGGCCUGGGCGACAGAGUGAGACUCUACCUCAAAAAAAAAAAAAAAAAAAA
Macaca mulatta (Rhesus monkey) is the source of this 4512-nucleotide non-coding RNA. NCBI's taxonomy places the organism in Eukaryota, Metazoa, Chordata, Mammalia, Primates, Cercopithecidae. The record is from RefSeq and is a predicted model, not a curated record.